UACGGGGGGGGCAAGCGUUGUUCGGAAUUACUGGGCGUAAAGGGCGCGUAGGCGGCCUACUAAGUCGGACGUGAAAUCCCUCGGCUCAACCGAGGAACUGCGUCCGAUACUGGCAGGCUGGAAUCCGGGAGAGGGAUGUGGAAUUCCAGGUGUAGCGGUGAAAUGCGUAGAUAUCUGGAGGAACACCGGUGGCGAAGGCGGCAUCCUGGACCGGUAUUGACGCUGAGGCGCGAAGGCCAGGGGAGCAAACGGG
RNAcentral lists this ribosomal RNA (253 nucleotides) under uncultured bacterium. RNAcentral describes it as "partial 16S ribosomal RNA". It matches the Rfam family "Bacterial small subunit ribosomal RNA", at positions 524 to 776 of the family's 1533-position model. The record is from RNAcentral.